This 505-nucleotide ribosomal RNA is filed under the name uncultured bacterium. RNAcentral describes it as "bacterial SSU rRNA". It matches the Rfam family "Bacterial small subunit ribosomal RNA", at positions 29 to 526 of the family's 1533-position model. The record is from RNAcentral.
AUUGAACGCUGGCGGCACGCCUAACACAUGCAAGUCGAGCGGUAACAUGAUUAGUAGCAAUACUAAUUGAUGACGAGCGGCGGACGGGUGAGGAACACGUAGGAACUUGCCCAGAAGAGGGGGAUAACCAAGGGAAACUUUGGCUAAUACCGCGUAAACUCGAGAGAGAAAAGCUGCCGCAAGGUGGCGCUUCUGGAGAGGCCUGCGUCCGAUUAGCUAGUUGGUGAGGUAACGGCUCACCAAGGCGAUGAUCGGUAACUGGUCUGAGAGGACGACCAGUCACACUGGGACUGAGACACGGCCCAGACUCCUACGGGAGGCAGCAGUGGGGAAUAUUGGACAAUGGGGGCAACCCUGAUCCAGCGAUGCCGCGUGAGUGAAGAAGGCCCUCGGGUCGUAAAGCUCUUUAGGUUGGGAAGAAGUGUGCGAUAGGAUAAUUGUCGUGCAUUGACGGUACCGACAGAAUAAGCACCGGCAAACUCUGUGCCAGCAGCCGCAGUAAGAC